This 745-nucleotide long non-coding RNA is filed under the name Scophthalmus maximus (turbot). Its description in RNAcentral is "lncRNA (ENSSMAG00000030757.1)". Lineage: Eukaryota; Metazoa; Chordata; Actinopteri; Pleuronectiformes; Scophthalmidae. The record is from RNAcentral.
CAGCAUGCACCGGGGCUUCUCGCCGUCGACUUCCUGCCGUCGCUUCUUCUUCGUCUGGUUUGUUGACAAACUCCAACGACAGUGAGAGCGGCGUCUGCCGCCGCCUACCGGAGGGUGGAUAAAGUGCAAACAGUUGUAUUCCAAACUGAGACAUGGACCGCUGACACGACUUGGCACAACUUGCAGUUUGAGGAUUUCCCUCUCGGCAGGGAUCUCCCUUUGGCAGCUGCCGUGCCCCUCCGGCGACGUGGACGCGUGGCCGGACAGGACGCCCCGCCUCUCCACCCAUCCACCUUAUCGACCCGCCGCACAGCACUGGUGCGGGGGCUGCCUGCGACCUGAUACCUCACAUCGCCGCGGAGAAGUCGGUCCCGGCUGAGAUAGAGCUCCCCACCUCUGCUGUGCCCGUGGCUAUACCCCGGAGUUAUCACGCACCAGAUGCUCAGCGGUUGCAUAAUGCACACAGGAUGUGAUCACUGGCUCCAUAUCUGACGGUGCAGCACCGCAGAGCUCGGCGUGCUCUUUUGACAGGUGCUGUAGUAGCAAUUUUCGUGGUACUUUGUGUUUUGAGCUGUCAAUUUUGUGUGCGAGAGGGAAUGUUUUCAUGCUUGUUUUACACCCAAAGAUGAACCAAAACCCCCCAACAAAACCCCCCAAAUAUUCUUAAGCCUUUUCAGCCCACGAACCGAACAGAAGCAAUUUCGUCUCACCCUGAACCCCGGUCUCAUUAAAACACAACUCGUUU